GCUGGGCAUGGUGGCGCGUGCCUGUAAUCCCAGGUACUCAGGAGGCUGAGGCGGGAGAAUUGCUUGAACCCAGGAGGUGAGGUUGCAGUGAGCCGAGAUCACGCCAUUGCACUCCAGCCUGGGUAACAAGAGCAAAACUCCGUCUCAA
Molecule: unclassified non-coding RNA, 148 nt
Organism: Callithrix jacchus (white-tufted-ear marmoset)
Lineage: Eukaryota; Metazoa; Chordata; Mammalia; Primates; Cebidae
Rfam family: Metazoan signal recognition particle RNA
About the family: The signal recognition particle (SRP) is a universally conserved ribonucleoprotein. It is involved in the co-translational targeting of proteins to membranes. The eukaryotic SRP consists of a 300-nucleotide 7S RNA and six proteins: SRPs 72, 68, 54, 19, 14, and 9.
Source: Ensembl